This 459-nucleotide ribosomal RNA is filed under the name uncultured bacterium. Its description in RNAcentral is "partial 16S ribosomal RNA". It matches the Rfam family "Bacterial small subunit ribosomal RNA", at positions 338 to 795 of the family's 1533-position model. The record is from RNAcentral.
CCUACGGGUGGCAGCAGUGAGGAAUAUUGGUCAAUGGCCGCAGGGCUGAACCAGCCAAGUCGCGUGAGGGAUGACGGUCCUAUGGAUUGUACACCUCUUUUGUCAGGGAGCAAAGGGCGCCACGUGUGGCGCUUUGCGAGUACCUGAAGAAAAAGCAUCGGCUAACUCCGUGCCAGCAGCCGCGGUAAUACGGAGGAUGCGAGCGUUAUCCGGAUUUAUUGGGUUUAAAGGGUGCGCAGGCGGAAUGUCAAGUCAGCGGUAAAAUUUCGGGGCUCAACCCCGUCGUGCCGUUGAAACUGCAUCCCUUGAGUGCGCGAGAAGUAUGCGGAAUGCGUGGUGUAGCGGUGAAAUGCAUAGAUAUCACGCAGAACUCCGAUUGCGAAGGCAGCAUACCGGCGCGCAACUGACGCUCAUGCACGAAAGCGUGGGUAUCGAACAGGAUUAGAUACCCCUGUAGUC